UACUAGAGUAGCACUCGCAUAUCAAUAAGCGGAGGAAAAGAAACUAACAAGGAUUCCCCUAGUAACGGCGAGUGAAGCGGGAAGAGCUCAAAUUUGAAAUCUUAAAGGGUUUCCCUUUACGAAUUGUAGUUUAAAGAAGUGUUUUCUGUUGAGGUUUUGGUAAAAGUUCUUUGGAAUAGGACAUCAUAGAGGGUGAGAAUCCCGUAUUUGACCUUUACCUUCAACUUUGUGAUACACUUUCAAAGAGUCGGAUUGUUUGGGAAUGCAGUCCAAAAUGGGUGGUAAAUUUCAUCUAAAGCUAAAUAUUGGCGAGAGACCGAUAGCGAACAAGUACCGUGAGGGAAAGAUGAAAAGAACUUUGAAAAGAGAGUUAAACAGUACGUGAAAUUGUCAAAAGGGAAGCGUCUGACACCAGUGUUGUUUUUCUGAAAAUCAAUUAAAGAACUGUUUAUGCUAAGCUGUUUAGACUUUAUCAGCUAUCUGUUUAGUUUUGAGCUUUUCUUUAAUGCACUUUUCAGUUAACAAGUCAACAUCAAUUUCUUUUGCUGUAAAAAAGCUUGAGGAAAGGUGGCAUGAGAUUCGUCUUAAGUGUUUAUAGCCUCUUGCCUAUGCAGUCGGAGAGAUUGAGGUCUGCAGCGUAGAUCCUUCGGGGCUAAAUGCAUUUGUGCUAAGUUAUAGCAUUUUAUAGACAACUUGUUGACUAUGAUUUGUCUUGUAGCUUACUCGCUUAUGUUAUUUUACCUACGCUUAGGAUGUUGAGUAGCGACAUACGCAC
Molecule: ribosomal RNA, 775 nt
Filed under: uncultured Neocallimastigales
Lineage: Eukaryota; Fungi; Neocallimastigomycota; Neocallimastigomycetes; Neocallimastigales
Description: partial large subunit ribosomal RNA
Rfam family: Eukaryotic large subunit ribosomal RNA
Source: RNAcentral